RNAcentral lists this ribosomal RNA (498 nucleotides) under uncultured bacterium. RNAcentral describes it as "partial 16S ribosomal RNA". It matches the Rfam family "Bacterial small subunit ribosomal RNA", at positions 30 to 523 of the family's 1533-position model. The record is from RNAcentral.
AUUGAACGCUGGCGGCAUGCUUUACACAUGCAAGUCGAACGGUAACAGGCCGCAAGGUGCUGACGAGUGGCGAACGGGUGAGUAAUGCAUCGGAACGUGCCCAGUCGUGGGGGAUAACGCAGCGAAAGCUGUGCUAAUACCGCAUACGAUCUAUGGAUGAAAGCGGGGGACCGUAAGGCCUCGCGCGAUUGGAGCGGCCGAUGUCAGAUUAGGUAGUUGGUGGGGUAAAGGCCUACCAAGCCGACGAUCUGUAGCUGGUCUGAGAGGACGACCAGCCACACUGGGACUGAGACACGGCCCAGACUCCUACGGGAGGCAGCAGUGGGGAAUUUUGGACAAUGGGCGCAAGCCUGAUCCAGCAAUGCCGCGUGCAGGAAGAAGGCCUUCGGGUUGUAAACUGCUUUUGUACGGAACGAAACGGUCUGGGUUAAUACCCUGGGCUAAUGACGGUACCGUAAGAAUAAGCACCGGCUAACUACGUGCCAGCCGCCGCCGUAA